UACGUAGGGGGCAAGCGUUAUCCGGAUUUACUGGGUGUAAAGGGAGCGUAGACGGCGAGACAAGUCUGAAGUGAAAACCCGGGGCUCAACCCUGGGACUGCUUUGGAAACUGCCUGGCUGGAGUGCAGGAGAGGUAAGUGGAAUUCCUAGUGUAGCGGUGAAAUGCGUAGAUAUUAGGAGGAACACCAGUGGCGAAGGCGGCUUACUGGACUGUAACUGACGUUGAGGCUCGAAAGCGUGGGGAGCAAACAGG
This 253-nucleotide ribosomal RNA is filed under the name uncultured bacterium. RNAcentral describes it as "partial 16S ribosomal RNA". It matches the Rfam family "Bacterial small subunit ribosomal RNA", at positions 524 to 776 of the family's 1533-position model. The record is from RNAcentral.